This 464-nucleotide ribosomal RNA is filed under the name uncultured bacterium. RNAcentral describes it as "partial 16S ribosomal RNA". It matches the Rfam family "Bacterial small subunit ribosomal RNA", at positions 28 to 506 of the family's 1533-position model. The record is from RNAcentral.
GAUGAACGCUGGCGGCGUGCUUAACACAUGCAAGUCGAACGGAAAGGCUCCUGCUUGCAGGGGUACUCGAGUGGCGAACGGGUGAGUAACACGUGGGUGAUCUGCCCUGCACUUCGGGAUAAGCCUGGGAAACUGGGUCUAAUACCGGAUAGGACGAUGGUUUGGAUGCCAUUGUGGAAAGUUUUUCGGUGUGGGAUGAGCUCGCGGCCUAUCAGCUUGUUGGUGGGGUAAUGGCCUACCAAGGCGUCGACGGGUAGCCGGCCUGAGAGGGUGUACGGCCACAUUGGGACUGAGAUACGGCCCAGACGCCUACGGGAGGCAGCAGUGGGGAAUAUUGCACAAUGGGCGCAAGCCUGAUGCAGCGACGCCGCGUGGGGGAUGACGGCCUUCGGGUUGUAAACUCCUUUCGCUAGGGACGAAGCGCAAGUGACGGUACCUGGAGAAGAAGCACUGGCUAACUACGU